This 331-nucleotide unclassified non-coding RNA is filed under the name soil metagenome. Its description in RNAcentral is "partial contains 5.8S ribosomal RNA, internal transcribed spacer 2, and large subunit ribosomal RNA". The stretch from base 1 to 120 matches the Rfam family "5.8S ribosomal RNA", at positions 35 to 154 of the family's 154-position model. The record is from RNAcentral.
GAUGAAGAACGUAGCGAAAUGCGAUAAGUAAUGUGAAUUGCAGAAUUCAGUGAAUCAUCGAAUCUUUGAACGCACAUUGCGCCCCCUGGUAUUCCGGGGGGCAUGCCUGUUCGAGCGUCAUUUCACCACUCAAGCCUCGCUUGGUAUUGGGCAACGCGGUCCGCCGCGUGCCUCAAAUCGACCGGCUGGGUCUUCUGUCCCCUAAGCGUUGUGGAAACUAUUCGCUAAAGGGUGUUCGGGAGGCUACGCCGUAAAACAACCCCAUUUCUAAGGUUGACCUCGGAUCAGGUAGGGAUACCCGCUGAACUUAAGCAUACCAAUAAGCGGAGGA